GGGAAGGAUGAGAAGCUUCUACCAGGGUUCGAUUCGAGCGCAGCGAGAAAGCGUUGCCGCAGGCAACGACCCGAAGGGCGAAGCGCGCAGCGCUGAGUCAUCCUUCCCCCACCACCA
RNAcentral lists this small RNA (117 nucleotides) under Salmonella enterica. RNAcentral's name for it is "partial RtT sRNA". It matches the Rfam family "RtT RNA", at positions 15 to 130 of the family's 130-position model. Rfam says of the family: This family represents a bacterial cis-regulatory element known as RtT RNA. RNAcentral also lists the same sequence under 5 other names. Lineage: Bacteria; Pseudomonadati; Pseudomonadota; Gammaproteobacteria; Enterobacterales; Enterobacteriaceae. The record is from RNAcentral.